AUGCGAGCUUCGCAAACCAACAAAUCGCAGCCAAAGCCGCUGCCGCUGCCGCUGCCACCUCCGCCACUCUCGCUGCCGUCGACGCCGUCGACCGUCCCGCGCCGGCGAAACCGCAGCGCCUCCUCCUCUUCCUCGUCUUCCUCCGUGUCCACCGCCUCCUCCUCCUUCUCCCCGUCGACGUCCCCUGCCCCGUCUCCUCGCACCACCUCACCCACUUCCGUGGUGCCCUUUUCGUGGGAGCGCCGCCCGGGACUCCCCAAGAGCAAUCUCGCGGGCCUUAUCUCCUCGUCCAGCGGCACCGCGGCAGUUCCGCUCCCACCGCCGCCACUGCGCCCUUCCACUCGCCGCUGCCGGCAGCGCAGACGCUGCCGCGCCCUCGACGCCCCCGCCCCUGCACCCGCAGCAGACCCCUUCGCCGCCGCCUUCGUGGAGUGCACAAGGGAAGAAGGCACAGACGACGCAGACGACAAGCUUUGGCUGACGCCGACGAUAACCAACUCCAGCCGCAUGGCGCGGUCGUGGCGACUCGCCGGCGGCGGGUUCCGUGUCAUCAGGUUCCUCGACCUAUACGGGUGCAGGAGGGCCAUGGACGUCGCCGACGGUGCUUUCCUUGCCCGCCGGUCCGUCGCACCGCGUCCACGUCCAUGA
RNAcentral lists this ribosomal RNA (648 nucleotides) under Triticum aestivum (bread wheat). RNAcentral's name for it is "partial small subunit ribosomal RNA". Lineage: Eukaryota; Viridiplantae; Streptophyta; Magnoliopsida; Poales; Poaceae. The record is from RNAcentral.